RNAcentral lists this ribosomal RNA (287 nucleotides) under uncultured bacterium. RNAcentral describes it as "partial 16S ribosomal RNA". It matches the Rfam family "Bacterial small subunit ribosomal RNA", at positions 335 to 640 of the family's 1533-position model. The record is from RNAcentral.
GACCUACGGGGCGCAGCAGUGGGGAAUAUUGCACAAUGGGGGGAACCCUGAUGCAGCGACGCCGCGUGAGUGAAGAAGUAUUUCGGUAUGUAAAGCUCUAUCCGCAGGGAAGAUAAUGACGGUACCUGACUAAGAAGCCCCGGCUAACUACGUGCCAGCAGCAGCGGUAAUACGUAGGGGGCAAGCGUCAUCCGGAUUUACUGGGUGUAAAGGGUGCGUAGGUGGCAGGGCAAGUCAGAUGUGAAAGCCCGGGGCCCGACCCCGGUACUGCAUUUGAAACUGUCCGG